GUGUGUAACAACUCACCUGCCGAAGCAACUAGCCCUGAAAAUGGACGAUGUUGUAGCGUGGAGCCGAUACUCGGCCGUAAUGACGAUUCGAGAGAAUGCGAUGUCAUUACGAGUAGGAGGGCCGCGAUGAUAGCGUUGAAGAUGUCGGACGUAAGUCCGCUUGGAGCUGUCAUUGGUGCAGAUCUUGGUGGUAGUAGCAA
RNAcentral lists this ribosomal RNA (200 nucleotides) under Psoroptes ovis (sheep scab mite). Its description in RNAcentral is "partial 28S ribosomal RNA". It matches the Rfam family "Eukaryotic large subunit ribosomal RNA", at positions 1278 to 1466 of the family's 3401-position model. Lineage: Eukaryota; Metazoa; Arthropoda; Arachnida; Sarcoptiformes; Psoroptidae. The record is from RNAcentral.